GGGAGGGGAUGGCACCCAAGGGCAAACCAGGCACGUUCCCUGCUCAGGCCUUUCCCCUUCAGGAGGAUGUGGUGUGCAAGAGCCCCUCGCUGAAGCACAGCGGGUUUGGGAGCCUGGGCCAUCCCCACCAUCAUCUCUCCCAGCUGCUGUUUUCCCAGUUUUCCUACCCCAGCUGGGAACCCCAGCAUUCCACUGGGGCAGAUGGGAUCUCAGGUGACGCACUAGGGGAUGUCACCCAGGCUGGCUGUGCGUUUCUCCCCGUUCCCAAAGGUGGCCAGAAGGGUUUGUCACCCGCCCAGGACCGGCCGUGCCACCGGGGACAUGAAGCAGCCUGUUUGUUCCUGUCACACCUUCACGGUUUCGGGUGUCAGCAGCGGCGCUGAGUCAAACCUGGGGCACGGCAGAAACCACCUGCCCUGGCAGCCACGAGGCAGCAGGGAUGUCACCACAUGGCUGUCACACUGUGGGGCAAUUACCACUGCAGUGCAACGCUGUCCUCCCACGCCCCGGCGCUGCCCACACGGAAUUCCAGCUGCCCUCACAGAAUUCCAGCUGCUCUCACGGAAUUCCAGCUGCUCACAGCCAUCCUGUGCACGGACACACCCUGUGGAAGGGCUAAGGCUGCUCGCACCCAGCCUCUGCAGAGAGAGAAGCCCAAGGAUCCACCUUAAAGCUUUGGUAUCUCUCACUGCAAUCAGACACCUGGAAAGACAAAAUCAGUUUACAUUUGUGUACGGCUGGUUUGAAGAGGAGCUUGCACGGCCUGCAGAGCUCCAGGCCAAAGGCUCCAGGAGAAGCAGGCUCGUUAAUGUCUCAUCAUGACUCAAGCAGCAAUUAUUGAUUGAUGCUAUUUUCCAGCAGUGUCCUGGCAACAGAGGGGACAAGGCACUGCUCGUCCUUAUCGAGCUCAAAAACACUCACGUAAAAACAUCAAGGAUUGGUUAAAAACGGGUUGAGCUGCGUAAGGAGAGCAAGUACAAAUCUCUCCAGCUUUUUGAAAUAUCAAAGGGUAACCUGGAAAACUGGAGUGCGUUAAAAGCAAUAAAUGAUGGGUGUGUGCAUGGAAAAAAAAAAAAAAAGGGCAAAUUCCACUGCGCUGACA
Long non-coding RNA from Passer montanus (Eurasian tree sparrow), 1102 nucleotides. RefSeq lists it as uncharacterized. Lineage: Eukaryota; Metazoa; Chordata; Aves; Passeriformes; Passeridae. The transcript has 2 exons. The record is from RefSeq and is a predicted model, not a curated record.